CCCACUAGGUAGUAUUAUUAUCUCUAUCUGAUAGGGGGGCAACCUGAGGUCCAGAGAGGUUAAGAAACUUGUCCAGGGUCACAUGGCUAAUAAAUGGCAGAGUCAGGGGACAAAGCAGAGCUCUCCUGCUCCCAAACUUCUUGUGGAACCACUGCACCCAUCCUGUCAUAAUGACCCCCGUACUCUCUGUCCAGCCUCCUGCCCACCAGGACUCCCCCAUCCUCGCUUUGUGGGGACUCACACACUUGCUGGCUGACCCCCAAGGCUGGUCUGGCACAGUCUUGGCCUGGAAGCAGGGUGAGCCAGGCAGGAGGCUUCUCCUCCUCCCGGGACCCCGGCUUCUCCUCUCCGAAGAUCCCCCUGGUGCCUCAGGCUGUGUAGACACCUGCUGAUUUGAUGAGACUUUUGCCGAGACAGCACCGAGGGCCGUGGCCGCCUCCGACAACCCAGCCGCCGACACGCGGAAUGUCCCUCCCUUUUGGAAAUCGUGGUAGGGAGCUGGCUAGUCCCUGUGUCAGCGGAGCUGCGGACGACUUUCCAGAUUUUUCCAGCAACUCCUUGCUACAGAUCGUCCUGUGCGCAGAGGCUGUGUGUACGUGUGUGCAAGUGCGCCUGCUCAGGAGGAGAAGAUUGAAUCGGACAGCUUUGAGACAGAGCUGGAAUAGUAGGGACGUGGGGGAAGAGGGAAGUCCCAGUGAUGUUCUUCUGGCUUCACAAAGAAAGCUCACAAGUAGCUCUACCUUUGAGGAAAGUGAGAAGUCCGUGGAAACAUUCAUAGAGCAUGGCAGCAGAUGGGAAGCAGGACAAGCAGCCGGAAGCUACAGACGCUUUCGGGACAAAAGGUGACCUCGGAGGAGAUGGGAAUCCUGGCAGACGCCCUUGUCAGAAGUGACGCUCAGGAGGAUGGCUCGGCUGGGAGGUGCAUCCCCGCCGGGCGGCCACUGUGGGAAUGCGGAGCACGCCCUUCUCCUUAUCUGGACUUUUGGAAAGUCUCCAGUUUGCAAGCUUGCCACCGGUUGACGAAGAGGUUAGAAAGAGGUCUGGAGAAGCCCAAAAGGAGUCGUUUGUCACGGAAAAGGGCAAAAGAAGAGUGAGGGGCAGAGGGAGGGUUGCCAUCCCCACGGGCACGUCCUCAGGUCAUCCUCACAGACAAUGAGAUGGGUAUUAUCAUGGUCUGAUAAGUGUCAGGAGGGAAACUGAGGCUCAGAGAAGUCCACGAUGUGCCCAAGGUCUGCAUCGAGGGGGGCCGGGGGCUGCACGUGUGAGGAUGGGGAUUGUGGCUUCCUCGGGGUGUCUGGGAGACCCAGGGUCCGGGGUGGGCCAGUAUGCCUUCCUCCAGUAUGUCGCUGCCGUAACAAAUGACCGUAAGCUCGGUGGCCUGAACAACACAACUUUAUCACCUGACUUCUGGAGUACAGAAGUCCGAAAUGGCUCUCACUGGGCUAAAACCAGACAGAGGCCAGCAUCAGGUGUCCGCAGGGGGCAUCCUUUCAUACAGGGAAAAUCUGCUGCCUUUUCCAGCUUCUAGAAGCUGCCUGCUUUCCUUAGCUGUCUCCAUCUUCAGAGCCAGCACGUUGGCAUCUUCCAAUCUCUAUCUGACUCUAGUAUUCCUGCCUCCCCCUUUCACUUAUGAUUACAUUUUUGAUGAUGAUUAUGAUUACAUUUUGAUGAUUCCCUUUUGAUUAUAUCGGGC
Molecule: long non-coding RNA, 1693 nt
Organism: Zalophus californianus (California sea lion)
Lineage: Eukaryota; Metazoa; Chordata; Mammalia; Carnivora; Otariidae
Source: Ensembl